AUUGAACGCUGGCGGCAUGCUUUACACAUGCAAGUCGAACGGUAACAGGUUAAGCUGACGAGUGGCGAACGGGUGAGUAAUGCAUCGGAACGUGCCCGGUCGUGGGGGAUAACGCAGCGAAAGCUGCGCUAAUACCGCAUACGAUCUGAGGAUGAAAGCGGGGGACCGUAAGGCCUCGCGCGAUCGGAGCGGCCGAUGUCAGAUUAGGUAGUUGGUGGGGUAAAGGCUCACCAAGCCGACGAUCUGUAGCUGGUCUGAGAGGACGACCAGCCACACUGGGACUGAGACCCGGCCCAGACUCCUACGGGAGGCAGCAGUGGGGAAUUUUGGACAAUGGGCGCAAGCCUGAUCCAGCAAUGCCGCGUGCAGGAAGAAGGCCUUCGGGUUGUAAACUGCUUUUGUACGGGGCGAAAAGGCUCUCUCUAAUACAGGGGGCUCAUGACGGUACCGUAAGAAUAAGCACCGGCUAACUACGUGCCAGCAGCCGCCGUAA
RNAcentral lists this ribosomal RNA (493 nucleotides) under uncultured bacterium. RNAcentral describes it as "partial 16S ribosomal RNA". It matches the Rfam family "Bacterial small subunit ribosomal RNA", at positions 29 to 523 of the family's 1533-position model. The record is from RNAcentral.